Molecule: ribosomal RNA, 495 nt
Filed under: uncultured bacterium
Lineage: Bacteria
Description: partial 16S ribosomal RNA
Rfam family: Bacterial small subunit ribosomal RNA
Source: RNAcentral
AUGAACGCUGGCGUCGUGCCUAAUACAUGCAAGUCGAGCGAACAGACGAGGAGCUUGCUCCUCUGACGUUAGCGGCGGACGGGUGAGUAACACGUGGAUAACCUACCUAUAAGACUGGGAUAACUUCGGGAAACCGGAGCUAAUACCGGAUAAUAUAUUGAACCGCAUGGUUCAAUAGUGAAAGACGGUUUUGCUGUCACUUAUAGAUGGAUCCGCGCCGCAUUAGCUAGUUGGUAAGGUAACGGCUUACCAAGGCAACGAUGCGUAGCCGACCUGAGAGGGUGAUCGGCCACACUGGAACUGAGAAACGGUCCAGACCCCUACGGGAGGCAGCAGUAGGGAAUCUUCCGCAAUGGGCGAAAGCCUGACGGAGCAACGCCGCGUGAGUGAUGAAGGGCUUCGGAUCGUAAAACUUUUUUUUUAGGGAAAAACAAAUGUGUAAGUAACUAUGCACGUCUUGACGGUACCGAAUCAGAAAGCCACGGCUAACUACGU